Symphalangus syndactylus (siamang) is the source of this 634-nucleotide long non-coding RNA. RefSeq lists it as uncharacterized. The record is from RefSeq and is a predicted model, not a curated record. Lineage: Eukaryota; Metazoa; Chordata; Mammalia; Primates; Hylobatidae.
UGUUGUUACCAUAGCAGCAACAAUAUACUACUGUAGGGGACUCUCUGCUAUAUUCAAGGAGAGCAAGCAUUAACAAACAGAUGAAUAUCCAAGUCUGAAAUUGCCGUUUUGUUCUGUGUCACUAAGUUAAAAAGCCACCACAUCUACGGCUGCAGUUUUCCCAGCAGAAAACAGGCUUCCAUUCUUGGAAGGUAAAGGGAUAAGAAACUGUGAAGACCAUUCAUUCCAGAUAAAACAAAAAGGGGCAGACCUAAAAAAGAAUACAUCUUGCAGAUUGCUACAUAAAGAAAUAUCGUGUUUGCAUCUGUGUCUGAGAGAAAGCAGAAUAAUGAACACUCUAUCAUUGAUAGUAUUCAAUCUGAGUUCGAAUGAUUGUUUGUUAAGGAGAUUGCGGAGGAUUUCUUGCACUGGAUGGGAGAUUGGGCUGUAAGUGGUUUCAGAAGUGAAAUUGGGAAGACAGAAGAAAUAAUGUUUGAAGAGAUACUAGUCAGAAUUCUUAAUAUAGUAGUAAUAAAUGACAUCCAAAAACAGGAUUCUGUUGAAGAUAAUAAUUUAUCAUUUUUUGAAUGCAAAGAUACACCACCUUUAAAUGAAAUUAACAAUGGACACAAGAAAACCUAAGAGCAAUCACCAC